RNAcentral lists this ribosomal RNA (252 nucleotides) under uncultured bacterium. RNAcentral describes it as "partial 16S ribosomal RNA". It matches the Rfam family "Bacterial small subunit ribosomal RNA", at positions 524 to 776 of the family's 1533-position model. The record is from RNAcentral.
UACGUAGGUCCCGAGCGUUGUCCGGAUUUAUUGGGCGUAAAGCGAGCGCAGGUGGUUUAUUAAGUCUGGUGUAAAAGGCAGUGGCUCAACCAGUGUAUGCAUUGGAAACUGGUAGACUUGAGUGCAGGAGAGGAGAGUGGAAUUCCAUGUGUAGCGGUGAAAUGCGUAGAUAUAUGGAGGAACACCGGUGGCGAAAGCGGCUCUCUGGCCUGUAACUGACACUGAGGCUCGAAAGCGUGGGGAGCAAACAGG